RNAcentral lists this unclassified non-coding RNA (311 nucleotides) under uncultured fungus. Its description in RNAcentral is "partial contains small subunit ribosomal RNA, internal transcribed spacer 1, and 5.8S ribosomal RNA". The stretch from base 1 to 73 matches the Rfam family "Eukaryotic small subunit ribosomal RNA", at positions 1759 to 1831 of the family's 1831-position model. The record is from RNAcentral. Lineage: Eukaryota; Fungi.
GCAAACUUGGUCAUUUAGAGGAAGUAAAAGUCGUAACAAGGUUUCCGUAGGUGAACCUGCGGAAGGAUCAUUACAAAUCCACACGUCUCUCUCACCCGAGACAACGUUGAAACGUUCCCGGUGGUCGGUCAGCGCUGCUGCCGCCACCAACCCCCUUUCUUCCAUCCAGUGUGCUUUGUUGCUUUCAUUUGUAGCCUGUUCUCGCUCGCUCGCCACGCGCGUGCGCAGCAAGGCAGACGACAACACGAACACGAACAAACACAACUUAUAACAAUGGAUCUCUAGGCUCUUGCAUCGAUGAAGAACGCAGC